Gymnodraco acuticeps is the source of this 758-nucleotide long non-coding RNA. RefSeq lists it as uncharacterized. The record is from RefSeq and is a predicted model, not a curated record. NCBI's taxonomy places the organism in Eukaryota, Metazoa, Chordata, Actinopteri, Perciformes, Bathydraconidae. The transcript has 4 exons.
UUGAGUUUCAGUUGACAUGAAUAACCCUGCAAUGCAGUGAAUGAGACAGCCUUGAACAGGGCUAAAGCAGUUUUAACACAGCAUGUUGAUCUCAACAGGCCAUUUAAAUCCUGUCUGGUUUCAUUUCCAGACGACCAGUUGAUCCCUCUGUGCCCGGCGCUCUGUGUUUUCAGCAGCCAUUCAUCACGGGUCUGAGCGACUGUCAUGGCCGCCUCUUCCCAGAAGGCCGUUGGCUCACAGCUUGUUAACGUGUCGACUCGCUGACCGCCCACGACUCUGUCUGCAUGUCUCCGCCUGGCCCAAGAGGCUAAUGGGCAAUCUCUCAUCCACUGACUCAGGUGGCGGCGUUUACAUUGGUUUGUAGCGUGGAAUAAAGACGACAGAAGGAGAAGAAGAAGAAGCACCUGUUUGGCAAACCGACAUUAGGAAGCAUCACGUCUUCUGCUCCGAACAACCCCCCUGAUGAGUAUCAUCUGCAGGAUGCUGAAAACACGGCUGAUCUGAGUUACAUUGUGACUGAGCUGGAGAGGACAGGAAGGGGAUGAGGGAUGAAGAGGAGAGAUUACAGAGCUCAGCGAGCAUUUGAUAGACUGUGGCGAAAGAUAUUUGGGACUCAAUUUACUAAAUGAUGCAGGUAAGAACAGAAGAUUACAGAAAUGAAAUCUGGGGAGGCUAUGAGGCCAAAUCUUUUAUUUUAAUUUCCCUACAGUAUCACUACUUACUUUUAUCUACUUAUUAUGAAGGAGCAAUCUUUUUAU